CACGUAGGGCGCAAGCGUUGUCCGGAAUUAUUGGGCGUAAAGAGCUCGUAGGCGGUCUGUUACGUCUGCUGUGAAAACCCAGGGCUUAACCCUGGGCUUGCAGUGGAUACGGGCAGACUAGAGGCAGGUAGGGGAGAAUGGAAUUCCCGGUGUAGCGGUGAAAUGCGCAGAUAUCGGGAGGAACACCAGUGGCGAAGGCGACUUCCUGGCCUGUUCUUGACGCUGAGGCGCGAAAGCUAGGGGAGCAAACGGG
RNAcentral lists this ribosomal RNA (253 nucleotides) under uncultured bacterium. RNAcentral describes it as "partial 16S ribosomal RNA". It matches the Rfam family "Bacterial small subunit ribosomal RNA", at positions 524 to 776 of the family's 1533-position model. The record is from RNAcentral.